CCUACGGGUGGCAGCAGUGAGGAAUAUUGGUCAAUGGUCGCGAGACUGAACCAGCCAAGCCGCGUGAGGGAUGAAGGUACAGAGUAUCGUAAACCUCUUUUGUCAGGGAACAAAGGCGGGGACGUGUCCCCGGAUGAGUGUACCUGAAGAAAAAGCAUCGGCUAACUCCGUGCCAGCAGCCGCGGUCAUACGGAGGAUGCGAGCGUUAUCCGGAUUUAUUGGGUUUAAAGGGUGCGCAGGCGGUCUGUUAAGUCAGCUGUAAAAGCCCGGGGCUCAACCCCGGCCCGCCGUUGAAACUGGCAGUCUCGAGUGGGAGAGAAGUAUGCGGAAUGCGCGGUGUAGCGGUGAAAUGCAUAGAUAUCGCGCAGAACUCCGAUUGCGAAGGCAGCAUGCCGGCUCCACACUGACGCUGAGGCACGAAAGCGUGGGUAUCGAACAGGAUUAGAUACCCGUGUAGUC
This 459-nucleotide ribosomal RNA is filed under the name uncultured bacterium. RNAcentral's name for it is "partial 16S ribosomal RNA". It matches the Rfam family "Bacterial small subunit ribosomal RNA", at positions 338 to 795 of the family's 1533-position model. The record is from RNAcentral.